This 293-nucleotide unclassified non-coding RNA is filed under the name uncultured fungus. RNAcentral's name for it is "partial contains small subunit ribosomal RNA, internal transcribed spacer 1, and 5.8S ribosomal RNA". The stretch from base 1 to 73 matches the Rfam family "Eukaryotic small subunit ribosomal RNA", at positions 1759 to 1831 of the family's 1831-position model. Lineage: Eukaryota; Fungi. The record is from RNAcentral.
UCAAACUUGGUCAUUUAGAGGAAGUAAAAGUCGUAACAAGGUUUCCGUAGGUGAACCUGCGGAAGGAUCAUUAAUGAGUGAUGCGGCCCCUUCGUCUCCCGAGUAAAUCGGGUUGAUGAAGUGCGGUUCCCUCCUCACCCUCUGUUUACGAUGCAAACGUUGCCUCGGUCUCUUUUGCAGGCCGAUGGACCAGCUUAACUCUUGUUUUUUUUGUGAUGUCUGAGUAAAAUAUUAAAAUCUUCAAAACUUUCAACAACGGAUCUCUUGGUUCUGGCAUCGAUGAAGAACGCAGC